CUGGCGGAAGCACCGCCCCUCGACCGUUUAUAGCGCCAGAGAACUGCAGCAACUGUGGCAAGAAGGGGUGGCAAUUUACUAAAUUCUUUUUGUUCCUGUUCGAGUUUUUGUAUAAAGGGAUGUCAGUACAGCUGGGGCCCAUGGCCGAAACAUCUGAAAUUCUCUACUAGGUUCCCCAGACUCACUGAGAGGCUCUACGUUGGUGCUGGGCUCCAGUCUUGAGGCAUCCUUGGGGAAACUACAGUCCCAGCCAUCAACUUCUACCUGCUCCCCUUCACCUGUGACAGUAAGAAGAGAGGGUCAGCCUGUACGUAAGAAGACUGAGGAGGAACGGGUAGAAAAAUGAGUGAUGAUCAAGAUCUCAUUCCAGAGCAUCUGAAAGGUCCAAGAAGAGGUCAAGAUCACAGCCAUGAACAUCAAAGCUGUUUAUAGAAGAGCCAAAAGGAUGGACCACACAACCUAGGUACCAAAGAACAAAGUUCAAAAGACAUUAGGGAACUGGUAAGAUGGCUCAGGUACUUGCCACCAAGUCUGAUAACCGGAGUUCAAUCCCCAGAACCCACGCGGUGGAAGAGAGCCAACUCCUAAAAGUUACUCUCUGACCUCCAUAAGCAUGUGUGUUACUUAUGUGCACAUAUAAUAAAGAGGUGUAAAAAGACAGGUCUCCAUUCAAGAACAUACUGGGGUACAGAGAUGGAAGAGCAAGCAAAUGAAACACCUACAGCUGAGGGAAGACUGAGAGUUCAAACAUGGGGGCAGGGAGAGCGUUAGAGGUAUGAGAGAGAGCUGACUUACAGCAGGGCACUCACCAGGGAAGAACUCUGUGAAGACCUCCUGCAUCAGAGCCACAACAAGGUUUCGAAGCUGCCGCUCAGCCUCAGACAACUCCCUCAGUUCCACAAGCUUUACCAUCUGUGCCUCCACAUCUGGGACCUCUGCCAGUACUCGGGCCAGCUGGUGACUAUUUGAGUCCGCUCCUUUGAGAGACUUGGAGGCUGGGCUCUGGAACUCCUUCUGUUCUCUUGGCCGGACACGUAGUCCAUGUGCCCCCAGCCUGUGCUUGGGCUGUGAUAAGACAGCCUCCUUUGCACUUAUGUCUCCCAUUUCCACGAUGGCAAACACCCCCUGGAAAACCACACAGGAGCAAGGAUGAUGUUUUGACAAUCAA
Meriones unguiculatus (Mongolian gerbil) is the source of this 1168-nucleotide long non-coding RNA. RefSeq lists it as uncharacterized. Lineage: Eukaryota; Metazoa; Chordata; Mammalia; Rodentia; Muridae. The record is from RefSeq and is a predicted model, not a curated record. The transcript is spliced from 3 exons.